Molecule: long non-coding RNA, 814 nt
Organism: Astyanax mexicanus (Mexican tetra)
Lineage: Eukaryota; Metazoa; Chordata; Actinopteri; Characiformes; Acestrorhamphidae
Exons: 3
Source: RefSeq, a predicted model, not a curated record
GUCAGGGUUAGGUCAGUGUUUGGUAAGGUUGGGGUCAGGGUUAGGAUUGAGAGUCAGCACUAGGUCAAUGUUUGGUCAGAGUAGAGCUGGAGUCAGGGUUAGGUCAGUGUUUGGUAAGGUAAGAGUCAGGGUUAGGACUGAGAGUCAGCACUAGGUCAAUGUUUGGUCAGAGUAGAGCUGGAGUCAGGGUUAGGUCAGUGUUUGGUAAGGUUGGGGUCAGGGUUAGGAUUGAGAGUCAGCACUAGGUCAAUGUUGGGUCUGGAAGAGCUGGAGUCAGGGUUAGGUCAGAGUUAGGACAGUGUUGGCUAAGGUCAGAAUGGGGUCAGAGUUAGGACAGUGUUGGGUGAAGGUCAGAAUGGGGUCAGAGUUAGGACAGUGUUGGGUAAGGGUCAGAAUAGGGUCAGAGUUAGGACAGUGUUGGGUACGGGGCCGGAAUGGGGUCAGAGUUAGGAUAGUGUUGGGUAAGGGUCAGAAUGGGGUCUGGGUUAUAUUUUAUCUCAUAUAUUUGUACUUUCAGCCAGUAGACUUAAUAUUAAACGUAAUAUUUUGCAGACACGAUGCUUUGCUUUAUCAAUAAUACACAUAGACAGUUUAACAAGUAUAUGUUUAAAUAUACAAUAUCCACUCACUAAAAUAAGAAAAAAAUCACUGGCAUAAAAAAUAAUGGUUGCUAUAAAAACUCAACAUGGUAGGUGUGGACCUAUAGACAGGCUCUCAGAGGAUACUUUCUGGGUAGUGCUCCUCUUGGUGAAAGACUGUUGACUUCUAAACAUGUCUCUACUACAUAAACACGUUUUGUCCAGUAGACAUACUC